GGGAUAUGAGGAAUGGGUUUAAUCUCGCAUAAUUGCGUGAUGAGCGUUCCGCUCAAAGCCUGUUACGACAAUUGGGCGCUCCAAUUUUCAUUUAAUCUGAUCCC
This 104-nucleotide small nucleolar RNA is filed under the name Eutrema salsugineum. RNAcentral describes it as "Small nucleolar RNA Z279/snoR105/snoR108". It matches the Rfam family "Small nucleolar RNA Z279/snoR105/snoR108". Rfam says of the family: This family includes the plant snoRNAs known as Z279, snoR105 and snoR108. All three are members of the C/D class of snoRNA which contain the C (UGAUGA) and D (CUGA) box motifs. The record is from Rfam by way of RNAcentral. Lineage: Eukaryota; Viridiplantae; Streptophyta; Magnoliopsida; Brassicales; Brassicaceae.